This is a long non-coding RNA of Anguilla anguilla (European eel), 1074 nucleotides long. RefSeq lists it as uncharacterized. NCBI's taxonomy places the organism in Eukaryota, Metazoa, Chordata, Actinopteri, Anguilliformes, Anguillidae. The record is from RefSeq and is a predicted model, not a curated record. The transcript has 2 exons.
CCAAGUCUUGACGCACACAGAGAGGAGCUUUCGCAACAAGACUGGCAAGACAGUCAGCUCCUGUCAUCCAGAAAUCGUGAACAAACGUACAGAAGAAAUUAGUGAAAUGCAAUGUAGGGAAAUGUAAUGUUUAACAUACAUUUCCUGCUUGCUUAGCUUACGCCUUCCAUUCCAGCUAGCGCAUCCAGCACCGUACUCUAACUUGAAACUAUAACGGACACGGUUAAUUCUGCCGAUUCCAGUCUGACCGACUCACCACGUCGGUCCGGCAAAGUGCGGAGAGCACGGCGGUCACGUGACCAGGCUGAGGCCCCCUGCCGCCCAGGCCCCUAACGGCGGCGUCCAGCGCCGCCGCGGCGACCAGGGAGGGCGGAGCUCCCAGGAAGGCCGAGUCGCAGACGCACAUGGCGACCAGGGUGUCGCCAUGCCGACGCAGCGUCGCCAGGGAGACCCCCGCCGGUGUUUCUCCCUCGUGCGGCUCCCCGAGCGCGGACAAGAAGUGCGGGAGGAAGUCUUGAGGGGUUACCGCGGCAACGUCCCAUCGGAGGGUUGCUAGGACGACGCGUUCCAUCUCCUGCGAGAGGGAAGGAGGGCAAGAGGGGUGAGAACACUGAGCACACACUGUGACAAAACAAAUACAGAGAGGUACCUCUCAUGGGGGGGGGGGGAAUAUAUCGGCCACUUAUAAAGUAUAUAUAUCUAACAAACGCUCAAAUGUACAAUAAUAUUACUCAAACAGGAAAGUAAUACAAGCAGGCACAUAUACAGCAAAAUGAAAUACACAGUCACACAAAUAUAUGCUCAUAAACAGCUGGAACCUAUCAAUUGGUGGUUUAAAAUAAUACCCAAUCAAUGGUUCUGGACUGAGGUGGAUAGAGAGAUACUUGAGGGAAAGACUUAUCCUGUACUUACUGUGUGAACAACACUUGAUGUUCCUGGCUGUGGAUAACUGAUACUUAAUGAGAUUUGUACCUUAUCGGACCUGUGUUCUGUAGUUGAUGCAAAGACCCUUGGCACGCACUUAUUGUACAUCGCUUUGGAUAAAAGCGACUGUCAAAUAAAAUGAAAUGUGAU